Molecule: small RNA, 162 nt
Filed under: human gut metagenome
Description: Clostridiales-1 RNA
Rfam family: Clostridiales-1 RNA
Source: RNAcentral
AUGCCAGGGUAGAAAGGUCUAAAACCACAUGAGCUUGCUCAUAUGUGGGUUAAAGACCUUGAGACCCGCCCCGAUAUGAGCAUAAAAGUGGAGCGUUAGCUUCACGAUAUGCGAAUAUCGGGCAGGGGUGUGGGAGUGCGUAGCACGGAACAACCCGCAGGC